GACGAACGCUGGCGGCGUGCUUAACACAUGCAAGUCGAACGAAGAGCGAUGGAAGCUUGCUUCUAUCAAUCUUAGUGGCGAACGGGUGAGUAACGCGUAAUCAACCUGCCCUUCAGAGGGGGACAACAGUUGGAAACGACUGCUAAUACCGCAUACGAUCUAAUCUCGGCAUCGAGGAUAGAUGAAAGGUGGCCUCUACAUGUAAGCUAUCACUGAAGGAGGGGAUUGCGUCUGAUUAGCUAGUUGGAGGGGUAACGGCCCACCAAGGCGAUGAUCAGUAGCCGGGCUGAGAGGAUGAACGGCCACAUUGGGACUGAGACACGGCCCAGACUCCUACGGGAGGCAGCAGUGGGGAAUCUUCCGCAAUGGACGAAAGUCUGACGGAGCAACGCCGCGUGAGCGAUGACGGCCUUCGGGUUGUAAAGCUCUGUUAAUCGGGACGAAAGGCCUUCUUGCGAAUAGUGAGAAGGAUUGACGGUACCGGAAUAGAAAGCCACGGCUAACUACGUG
Molecule: ribosomal RNA, 510 nt
Filed under: uncultured bacterium
Lineage: Bacteria
Description: partial 16S ribosomal RNA
Rfam family: Bacterial small subunit ribosomal RNA
Source: RNAcentral